This 483-nucleotide ribosomal RNA is filed under the name uncultured bacterium. RNAcentral's name for it is "bacterial SSU rRNA". It matches the Rfam family "Bacterial small subunit ribosomal RNA", at positions 31 to 507 of the family's 1533-position model. The record is from RNAcentral.
GAACGCUGGCGGCAUGCCUUACACAUGCAAGUCGAACGGCAGCACGGGAGCAAUCCUGGUGGCGAGUGGCGAACGGGUGAGUAAUAUAUCGGGAACGUGCCCAGUCGGUGGGGGAUAACGUAGCGAAAGCUACGCUAAUACCGCAUACGAUCUAUGGAUGAAAGCGGGGGAUCGCAAGACCUCGCGCGAUUGGAGCGGCCGAUAUCAGAUUAGGUAGUUGGUGAGGUAAAGGCUCACCAAGCCGACGAUCUGUAGCUGGUCUGAGAGGACGACCAGCCACACUGGGACUGAGACACGGCCCAGACUCCUACGGGAGGCAGCAGUGGGGAAUAUUGGACAAUGGGCGAAAGCCUGAUCCAGCCAUGCCGCGUGUGUGAAGAAGGUCUUCGGAUUGUAAAGCACUUUAAGUUGGGAGGAAGGGUAGUAACCUAAUACGUUGCUGCUUUGACGUUACCGACAGAAUAAGCACCGGCUAACUACGUG